This 261-nucleotide unclassified non-coding RNA is filed under the name Hevea brasiliensis (rubber tree). Lineage: Eukaryota; Viridiplantae; Streptophyta; Magnoliopsida; Malpighiales; Euphorbiaceae. The record is from RNAcentral.
UAUGCAUGAACAUUUUGGGCUGGACAGUCAUGGUAGCUAUUGGUGUAAAUGCAGCUAUAAGUGUGAGAGUAUCAAAUGAGCUAGGCGCAGCUCAUCCAAGAACAGCAAAAUUUUCACUUGUGGUGGCUGUUAUAUCAUCUUUUAUGAUUGGUGUCGUUCUCUCUCUCAUUCUCAUCCUUACAAGAACUAAGUAUCCAUCUUUGUUUUCCUCGGAUUCUCAAGUCAAAGAACUUGUCAAUGAGCUUACACCUCUGCUUGCUC